Molecule: ribosomal RNA, 305 nt
Filed under: uncultured bacterium
Lineage: Bacteria
Description: bacterial SSU rRNA
Rfam family: Bacterial small subunit ribosomal RNA
Source: RNAcentral
CCUACGGGGGGCAGCAGUGGGGGAUAUUGCACAAUGGAGGAAACUCUGAUGCAGCGACGCCGCGUGAGGGAAGACGGUCUUCGGAUUGUAAACCUCUGUCUUUGGGGAAGAAAAUGACGGUACCCAAAGAGGAAGCUCCGGCUAACUACGUGCCAGCAGCCGCGGUAAUACGUAGGGAGCGAGCGUUGUCCGGAAUUACUGGGUGUAAAGGGAGCGUAGGUGGGCGCUUAAGUCAGGUGUGAAAACUCCGGGCUCAACCUGGAGACUGCACUUGAAACUGUGUGUCUUGAGGGCAGGAGAGGAAG